This 402-nucleotide ribosomal RNA is filed under the name Sporosarcina sp. CL5.73. Its description in RNAcentral is "bacterial SSU rRNA". It matches the Rfam family "Bacterial small subunit ribosomal RNA", at positions 92 to 480 of the family's 1533-position model. Lineage: Bacteria; Bacillati; Bacillota; Bacilli; Caryophanales; Caryophanaceae. The record is from RNAcentral.
UUAGCGGCGGACGGGUGAGUAACACGUGGGCAACCUCCCUUGUAGAUUGGGAUAACUCCGGGAAACCGGGGCUAAUACCAAAUAAUCCAUUUUGCUUCAUGGCGAAAUGUUGAAAGGCGGCUUCGGCUGUCACUACGAGAUGGGCCCGCGGCGCAUUAGCUAGUUGGUAGGGUAACGGCCUACCAAGGCGACGAUGCGUAGCCGACCUGAGAGGGUGAUCGGCCACACUGGGACUGAGACACGGCCCAGACUCCUACGGGAGGCAGCAGUAGGGAAUCUUCCACAAUGGACGAAAGUCUGAUGGAGCAACGCCGCGUGAGUGAAGAAGGUUUUCGGAUCGUAAAACUCUGUUGUAAGGGAAGAACACGUACGAGAGUAACUGCUCGUACCUUGACGGUACCU